Molecule: transfer RNA, 73 nt
Organism: Felis catus (domestic cat)
Lineage: Eukaryota; Metazoa; Chordata; Mammalia; Carnivora; Felidae
Rfam family: tRNA
About the family: Transfer RNA (tRNA) molecules are approximately 80 nucleotides in length.
Source: Rfam
GCCUGGCUAGCUCAGUCAGUGGAGCAUGGGACUCUAGAUCUCAGGGUUGUAAGUUCGAGCCCCACGGUGGGUA